Long non-coding RNA from Homo sapiens (human), 5228 nucleotides. RefSeq annotates it as CCDC146 antisense RNA 1. The record is from RefSeq and is a predicted model, not a curated record. The transcript has 2 exons. Lineage: Eukaryota; Metazoa; Chordata; Mammalia; Primates; Hominidae.
GAACUGUUUUAUUGACCAGAUUUCCUGAAGAAAUCUAGAGAAAUAUUUUUCAUUUUUCUUGCUAUUCUUUAUUUAAUGACUAACUAUUAAGUGCCAAAGAAGUCAUAUGAUUUCCCGAUAUGGAAAGAUUUUAAAGUUUGUAUUGAUCACACUUGGAAAAUCAUAUGAAAUAAAUGAAUACACAGACAAUUAUGUCCACUGGUUAUAACAAAUAACCAGAUCCCACUAGUCCAUAGAUCUAGGAACAUGAGCUAAAAGCACAUGCACACCAGGUUUUCUCAUUUGUAUACAUUUAAGGGAUACAAGUGCAGUUUUGUUACAUGGAUAUAUUGCAGUGUGGUGACGUCAGGGCUUUUGGUACAACCAUCACUCAAAUUAUAUACAUGUAUACCCAUUAAGUCAUUUCUCAUCCUUCACCCUCCUUCUGUCCUCCCACCCUUCUAAGUCUCCAGUAUCUACUAGUCCACACUCUACGUCCACGUGUACACAUUACUUAGCUCCCACUUAUGAGAACAUGUGGUAUUUGGCUUUCUGUUUGUGAGUUUUUUUCACUUAAGAUAACGGCCUUCAGUUCCAUCCAUAUUACUGCAAAAUACAUGAUUUCAUUUUAUGACUGAAUAGUAUUCCAUUGUAUAUAUAUGUCACAUUUUCUUUAUCCAAUCUCUUGACAGACACUUAGGUUGAUGCCUUAUCUUUGCUAUUGUGAAUAGUGUUGCAAUAAACAUAUGAGCGCAGGUAUCUUUUGGAUAUGAUUUCUUUUUCUUGGGUAUAUAGCCAAUAGUAGGAUUGCCAGAUGGAUUAGUAGUUCUAUUUUUAGUUCUUUGAGAAAUAUCCAUGCUGUUUUCCAUAGAGCUUGUACCAAUCACAUUCCUAGCAACAAUGUAUAAGUGUUCCCUUUACUCAGCACUCCGCCAACAUCUUAUUUUUUAUCUUUUUAAUAAUAGCUAUUCUGACUGGUAUAAAAUGAUAUAUCAUUGUGGUUUUAAUUUGCAUUUCUCUGAUUAGUGAUGAACUUUUUUCAUUUGAUUCUUAGCCAUUUGUCUGCUUUUGAAAAAUGUCUAUUUAUGUCCUUUGCCUACUUUUUAAUGGGAUUAUGUUAUUUUUGACAUUUUAUUUGCAAUAAUGUAGAUGAAUUUUGUAAUACAUGUGUCACAUUGAAUUUAAUAUAGAUUAGUUGUCUAGACCACAAAUUGAAGCUGAGUUUAGAUCUUUAAAUAGUUAUGCCUUUGCUUUUAGAGCUUGCAUAUACAUUAGUGGUAUUUUACUUCCCAGGUAUUGAUCCUACACCUCGGGCAUGCUGCCACCAGGGGGUAGUAGUGUGCUACUAUCUUUCGGUUGUAAAGGCAACCUGAGUAUUUCUGAGUUUCAAAAUGGUGACAGCAAGCUCUUUCACAAGAUGUGACUUAUGGUCUUUCCUUUAAGUAUAUUUUUAUGUUUAAACAAACAUAAAAUGACUAAUUCUUUAGGACAUUUAAAACUUACAUUUCUAUGAUACAUUUUUCUUUUUUUAUUAGGAAAUACUGACUUAUUUCCUCUAAAAGGAAUGUAUUUUUCUAUUUUUAAAGAUUAUAAUCCUACUCCAUCACACAUGGUUGAUCAUUUUUAUUUUCCCUGUUAUCUUUUAAUAAACUUAUUUUAAAUGUAUAUGUGUGGUUGAAUCCAUUUUUACCUAACAUUUAAUUAAAAUAUUUUCCUAAGUUGCUAAACAGACUUUAUAAUAAUAGCUAUUUACAAGGUUUUCUACUGGGUAGAUAUACCAUAAUAAAAUAAUCUUAAGUAUUAUUUAUCAUAUACUGAACAUACUGUGUGCCAGGUGCUUUAAAUUUAUCAUAUCUAAAAUUCACAACCUUGCUAAGUAGGAAUUGUGAUUUUUGUUGUACAAAUGAAGAAACUGAGGAGUUAAGCAACUUUUCCAAAGUCACACAGUCAAAGCUAAACUGACACACAAAUACCGCUCUGACUACAGAGGUUCAGUAACAAGGUAUUUCUGGAAUGCAUUAUUUAAAUAUUCCACAUUUUUUGAGAAUUCAGAUUGCUUCCAAUUUUUCACUUUCAUAAAUAUCAAUAUCUUUAUGCAUUAUAUCUUUUUCUCUCCUUUUGGGUUAUCACUUUUGCAUGGGAUUACUGGGGCAAAAACAUGUUUCUGUUUCUAUGCCUCCUGGUAUGUAUUAACUCCUAACCUUUCAAACUUGCAUUAAAACUUAAAUCUGACAUUUUUCAGCUUUCCUGACUAAGGGGUGCUUCAACAUCAAAGCUCCUUAGGAUUUACUUCCUUUCUAAAGCAACGUCAAAAGGCUUUUGGUUUUAAGGAUCUAUGGGUGAAGAGAUAAUGCAGGAAGCCCGAUAUGCUGACAUGUGUGAGAGGCAUCAUUCACCACAGAAGUAGAAACAGCAUGGAUGGGUGAAAGUUGCAAGAAGGUAGGUUUAUAAACAAAUCCAACAACCAUUUAAGUGUAGGAGCAUUUCCAAAGUUGGCGUGAGCCUCUGUGGGAGGCUGAGAGCUUCCUGUCACUGGAAGUGUUUAUGCAUAGACUGAAUGAUCACUGAGAGGAGACUCUGGUGACUGACCAGUCAGGGCUGAGAACCACCUUUGGAACCCACGGUCCUCUAACUAUAAUGUGAGUCAGAGUCACAUAAGCAAAUGUCACUUUGGGUGGGGGCGGUGGGCUGGGGCAAAAAUCAUAAUCAUUACUUUUUGGAUGGGAUCUUCCUUUCAAACAAGUGUCUCAGGUGCUUCUUUUUGAGUAAUGAGAAACACAUUCAGAGAAACCUGUUCUAACUAAGUUAGUUCUUUUAAGAUAUUUGUUGCCACAGAAGAGCAAACUUUUUUUUUUUUUUAAGUUAAGGUAAAAUCUGUUCUAGCUAUGAGUUUUUCCUUGUGACUACUCCUGAGUACCUACAUGCCUCUUCUGUCACAUUCUAAUUUUCUGGAAUUCCAGAUGUGUUGCUAAGAUCAUUCCUCCUUUCCUUUGUUACCAGAUCUGUUGUUUCUUGGUUCCAACUUUGCUAUCAGCACUGGACCAAGAAUGGAAAACAACUAAUAAACCCUGAAUGUGCAACAAGGACCACAGGAACCAGCCACGGGAGAGUAGACAGUCACCAAGGUCAGGGUCACGUCAGGACAGCCCUGCACGUGUGCGGCCUGAGUGUUCCCACUCUCCGGGUUCACAGUGCAACAGACAGUGCCAGCUCACCACAGCCUUGUUUCCCCCAACUGACCAAGACUGGUCAGAAUGUGUCAGAUUUUGCAUGAAAGACGCAACGUAUUUGCUGUAAAAUUUUAGGAAUUACUAGAAAACAGGGAAGCCCCAAAAGGUAACACAAUCAAGGCAAGGCAAAGGUUGAAGAGAGUACUGAAAAAUCUUUUCAAACUGUUUAGAGAGGAUCCUGGGGGGAGAUGGUAGCAGGUUGGAGUGGCUGUGAGCCCGAGAGGCAGGAAAUAAGCCAGACUGAAACCCAUAUGCCUCUGUCAGAACUUCAAAGACUGAACCAAUGGUAAGAGCAAAGAACCUAACAGGGCCAAAGCUGUGAAGCGUAUUCACAUAAGGAUCAGAACACAGUCGGAGUCAGGAAACAGAGCCAGGAUAAAACCACUAGAAUAAAGUCACAAAACAUUAACCAGAAGAGGCAGGGAGUGGCCUGGGUACCAGAAGGAAUUCUGUUGCAGGAUGUGACGGACUAAUCAGUGUUUAAUCCUUCCUAGGCAGAGGCUCCACCACCGGUGCAUCUGUAAAGGCCUGGAGUGGGCUCAGGCAGUGAGAAACUGGAAAUGGAGCCUGGGCCCUUAGAGACCAGAGCAUCUCUCAUACAAGGGCUACACAUGUAUGAAGAAGAUGUACAUAGCUGGUCAUUUGUUACCUCACUUUGUUGAUCACAGACAAAAGCCACUUCCCUGACCUUGUCCUAAGGGAUUGUCAUUGUAAAUGUGGGUGAGCCCAGAGAACAGUGGGCUGGAUCCCUGGGUUUGGCUGCUUUCUAUGCUGCCAAGUAGUGGACACCCACCUUUCAGGCCCCCUUUUAUGUGCUGAGAUCACCUCCCUUCUUAGCUGUCUGUCAGUAUACCCCAGCUCUAGGCUGCAAGACUUCAGUGUGGGGACAGAGGUGCUCCCCACAACAAAGUCUGGGACCUCUGGUGCCCCACCUUCAUGUUUUGAAGAUGCUGUUUCACCCAGCGUUCUUUCCAGUAUUCAUCAGUAAUAGUGCAUUUAGCAUGGAGGCAUCCCCGAGUGCCCUUCACUUCCCCUUCUGCCAGGCAGAUUGUGAUGAACAGUGAAGCCUUUCACGGCUACUCACAGAAGUAGUCUUUAAAAAAGAACAAGAACUCAAAAUUGCAACUUGAACUUCCCCACUGAUACCAUAAAAUGGAACUUGGGAGCAGAAUAUAAGGAUGUUUGAGUUCCACUCUUGCUAAUUCACUGGUAAGGGGGCUUGAAAUCCUGGCCGCAUGUUUAGACAAGUCUACUCUGUUAAAUUAUUUCCCAAGUACUUUAUUCUUUUUGAUUCUGUUGCAAAUGAAAUCUUCCCCUCAAUUUCAUUUUUUGGCUCAUUUUAUUGCUAGUGUAUAGAAGCCAUUCAGUUUUGUUCGCUGAAAUUCUCAUUUGUCAUGUAAAUACAGGGCAAACCUCAGAACUCAGGUAUGAGCCCUUUUAUGUUUUCUGCAAGUGUUUCGUUUUGGGUGAAUAUCUUUGGCUCUUUUGUUCACUUGAUAGAUCCUGAGCAUCUAGAACACUGCCUGACACUCAGGUUCUCAAAAAUGUUGAAUGAAUCAGGCCACCAUCUCUCAUGCAUUUCUCCAUGAGAGCACUUAUUUUUAUGUGUUGAAAUCAUGCUCAUAUGUCUGUCCAUCAGAUGGGAAGUGCGCUGAAGCCAGGGAUCAUUCUAGUGUCCUAAGAACCCUGCACGGUACAUGUCACACACCAGGUGCUCAGCACAUGCCUGAAGACUCUAUGGCUAUGUAUCAGGGUGGGGGUGCAGCAUGAAGGGUUGAGCAUAUCACCAAAGGAAAUCUCAAUGUGUGGUGUUCCCUUUCCACAUCCACAUGUGAUUUGGGCCACUCAUAGAACUAACACCAGCAGAUUAAACAGUGUGUAUAUGUGCAUGCCUGUGUAUGAAGGAAAAAGAACAUAAAUUUGAUAUUUAUCAUGGGUCAUAUGGACUGGUUGACUGUAUGUAGAAUACACACUUGCUAUACAGUUUGGAAUGGAUAUUAAAAGCCUUUGAAUUGAAAA